This 773-nucleotide ribosomal RNA is filed under the name uncultured bacterium. RNAcentral describes it as "bacterial SSU rRNA". It matches the Rfam family "Bacterial small subunit ribosomal RNA", at positions 8 to 796 of the family's 1533-position model. The record is from RNAcentral.
AGAGUUUGAUCAUGGCUCAGGACGAACGCUGGCGGCGUGCUUAACACAUGCAAGUCGAACGGUGAAGCCCUUCGGGGUGGAUCAGUGGCGAACGGGUGAGUAACACGUGAGCAAUCUGCCCUUGACUCUGGGAUAACUUCGGGAAACCGGAGCUAAUACCGGAUAUGACACAUGGCCGCAUGGUUUGUGUGUGGAAAAGAUUUAUCGGUCAAGGAUGAGCUCGCGGCCUAUCAGCUUGUUGGUGGGGUAAUGGCCUACCAAGGCGACGACGGGUAGCCGGCCUGAGAGGGCGACCGGCCACACUGGGACUGAGACACGGCCCAGACUCCUACGGGAGGCAGCAGUGGGGAAUAUUGCGCAAUGGGCGAAAGCCUGACGCAGCGACGCCGCGUGAGGGAUGAAGGCCUUCGGGUCGUAAACCUCUUUCAGCAGGGAAGAAGCGAAAGUGACGGUACCUGCAGAAGAAGCACCGGCUAACUACGUGCCAGCAGCCGCGGUAAUACGUAGGGUGCAAGCGUUGUCCGGAAUUAUUGGGCGUAAAGAGCUCGUAGGCGGUCUGUCGCGUCUGCUGUGAAAACUCAGGGCUUAACCCUGAGCUUGCAGUGGGUACGGGCAGACUAGAGUGCGGUAGGGGAGACUGGAAUUCCUGGUGUAGCGGUGAAAUGCGCAGAUAUCAGGAGGAACACCGGUGGCGAAGGCGGGUCUCUGGGCCGUAACUGACGCUGAGGAGCGAAAGCAUGGGGAGCGAACAGGAUUAGAUACCCUAGUAGUCC